CCUACGGGGGGCAGCAGUGAGGAAUAUUGGUCAAUGGACGAGAGUCUGAACCAGCCAAGUAGCGUGAAGGAUGACUGCCCUAUGGGUUGUAAACUUCUUUUAUAUGGGAAUAAAAUGUUCCACGUGUGGGAUUUUGUAUGUACCAUAUGAAUAAGGAUCGGCUAACUCCGUGCCAGCAGCCGCGGUAAUACGGAGGAUGCGAGCGUUAUCCGGAUUUAUUGGGUUUAAAGGGUGCGCAGGCGGUCUGUUAAGUCAGCGGUCAAAGCCCGGGGCUCAACCCCGGCCCGCCGUUGAAACUGGCAGUC
This 305-nucleotide ribosomal RNA is filed under the name uncultured bacterium. RNAcentral describes it as "bacterial SSU rRNA". It matches the Rfam family "Bacterial small subunit ribosomal RNA", at positions 338 to 641 of the family's 1533-position model. The record is from RNAcentral.